ACUCCUACGGGAGGCAGCAGUGAGGAAUAUUGGUCAAUAGGCGCAAGCCUGAACCAGCCAUCCCGCGUGCAGGAAGACGGCGCUACGCGUUGUAAACUGCUUUUCCAGGGAGAGAAACUUGCGCACGUGUUGCGCAAUUGACGGUACCCUGGGAAUAAGCAUCGGCUAACUCCGUGCCAGCAGCCGCGGUAAUACGGAGGAUGCGAGCGUUAUCCGGAUUCAUUGGGUUUAAAGGGUGCGUAGGCGGACUAUUAAGUCAGUGGUGAAAUCCUGCAGCUUAACUGCAGAACUGCCAUUGAUACUGAUAGCCUUGAGUUUGGUUAAGGUAGGCGGAAUGUGUAAUGUAGCGGUGAAAUGCUUAGAUAUUACACAGAACACCAAUUGCGUAGGCAGCUUACUGAGCCGACACUGACGCUGAGGCACGAAAGCGUGGGGAUCGAACAGGAUUAGAUACCCUGCUAGUC
Molecule: ribosomal RNA, 464 nt
Filed under: uncultured bacterium
Lineage: Bacteria
Description: bacterial SSU rRNA
Rfam family: Bacterial small subunit ribosomal RNA
Source: RNAcentral